UAUUAAACAUAAUAUUUAAAUUGUGCACUGAAAUUGAAUUGGGUCUCUAGGCUUGCCCUCUCUGAUGCCAUUUGGCUUUGAUUUGAGGGCAUGGUUUCGUAGCAAAACA
Rhododendron vialii is the source of this 109-nucleotide small nucleolar RNA. RefSeq annotates it as small nucleolar RNA snoR100. The transcript has a single exon. Lineage: Eukaryota; Viridiplantae; Streptophyta; Magnoliopsida; Ericales; Ericaceae. The record is from RefSeq and is a predicted model, not a curated record.